RNAcentral lists this long non-coding RNA (582 nucleotides) under Trifolium pratense (red clover). RNAcentral describes it as "long non-coding RNA (TPRA_LNC004024)". Lineage: Eukaryota; Viridiplantae; Streptophyta; Magnoliopsida; Fabales; Fabaceae. The record is from RNAcentral.
GUGUGUCGAUAUAUAUAUUUUUUAAAAUGAAUAACCCAUAAAACAUAGAAAGUCACAAUUUAUACACAAAUUAAACACAAAAAUCACUCAUCUACCAAAAACAAUAAACACAAAAUCACUCUUUCCUUCAAUAAUUAUUGAAAGAAAAUAUAUUACAACAGAAAUUGAUAAAAUCUAUUCAUCCGACUGACUGAAAAUAAAAUAAAAAUCAAUGAACAAAUAAACCUAUAUUUAUAUCCCCUCCUCCAUUGCCUGUGGAGUAUAAUAUAUCUACAUGAGUACCACAUUCUCUAUCCUUUGGUUUUUGAGGUAAGAAGGAAGGUUGCUUCAAAUUUUCAUUCAUAAAUGACACCAAAAAUUCAAAAAGCAUCGUGGAAAUUAAUUAGAAAAGAAAUCAAUUUCUCAUCUAAGGAGAGAUUUUGUUUGGCAUCCAUUCGCCAUCUGUUCCAAAAACAAAAGCUCCUGCAAUACCAAAACUAAGACAUGUUCAGAAUCUUUUUCUUUAACCUAUUUUUGUUUAUAAUUAAUAUCGAAAGAAGUAUUUUUUAAUGGAGUUAAAUGAAAACUCCAAAUAAAAAAAUU